Molecule: transfer RNA, 86 nt
Filed under: Candidatus Woesearchaeota archaeon
Lineage: Archaea; Nanobdellati; Candidatus Woesearchaeota
Description: tRNA-Leu
Rfam family: tRNA
About the family: Transfer RNA (tRNA) molecules are approximately 80 nucleotides in length. Their secondary structure includes four short double-helical elements and three loops (D, anti-codon, and T loops). Further hydrogen bonds mediate the characteristic L-shaped molecular structure. tRNAs have two regions of fundamental functional importance: the anti-codon, which is responsible for specific mRNA codon recognition, and the 3' end, to which the tRNAs corresponding amino acid is attached (by aminoacyl-tRNA synthetases). tRNAs cope with the degeneracy of the genetic code in two manners: having more than one tRNA (with a specific anti-codon) for a particular amino acid; and 'wobble' base-pairing, i.e. permitting non-standard base-pairing at the 3rd anti-codon position.
Source: RNAcentral
GCGGGGGUGCCGGAGCGGCCAAACGGGCCAGGCUUAGGACCUGGUGGCUUAGUGCCUGCGCGUGUUCGAAUGUCACGUCCCCCGCA